CUCUGUAUUCAGUGCAAUGAAGAAUCAUCUGGUGUAGUGAAGUUUACAGCAAGAACAGACUUGACUUGGAAAUAACUUACAGGCUUAUAAGGAGUCAUCUACAAGUUUAACUUUGGAGGGUUUAAGAAUAUAGGCUGCUGUGAUUUAGUUGUCCCUUGAGGAGAGGAGCACAAAUCAAGAAGGGUUUCAGGUGUGUUGUUCCAUUUCAAUUUACCAGGAUGACCUAUAAAAGGCAUUUCAGACCCUGAAGCAACAAGCUGAGGAGAAAAUUUGAGCAAAUGGGCUUUUGAACACCUCUUAGACCCCCAGCUCUUCCUCUGCCUGUGAAUAGAACUGGCCCUGAAGGGAAGAAUUCUAUUGCCUUUGUAUAAUCUGUACCCCUCAGGAGAGGGUUUCAGGCUACUCUGAAUAACCCUAUUACAUAGCACAACUUCAGUGUACCAACAGUGAUAU
This is a non-coding RNA of Ceratotherium simum simum (southern white rhinoceros), 453 nucleotides long. The record is from RefSeq and is a predicted model, not a curated record. Lineage: Eukaryota; Metazoa; Chordata; Mammalia; Perissodactyla; Rhinocerotidae.